This 558-nucleotide ribosomal RNA is filed under the name uncultured bacterium. Its description in RNAcentral is "bacterial SSU rRNA". It matches the Rfam family "Bacterial small subunit ribosomal RNA", at positions 342 to 912 of the family's 1533-position model. The record is from RNAcentral.
CGGGAGGCAGCAGUGGGGAAUUUUCCGCAAUGGGCGAAAGCCUGACGGAGCAAUACCGCGUGAGGGAAGAAUGCCUAUGGGUUGUAAACCUCUUUUUUCAGGGAGGAAUAAAAUGACGUGUACCUGAAGAAUAAGCAUCGGCUAACUCCGUGCCAGCAGCCGCGGUAAGACGGAGGAUGCAAGUGUUAUCCGGAAUCACUGGGCGUAAAGCGUCUGUAGGUGGUUUAAUAAGUCAACUGUUAAAUCUUGAGGCUCAACUUCAAAAUCGCAGUCGAAACUAUUAGACUAGAGUAUAGUAGAGGUAAAGGGAAUUUCCAGUGGAGCGGUGAAAUGCGUAGAGAUUGGAAAGAACACCGAUGGCGAAAGCACUUUACUGGGCUAUUACUAACACUCAGAGACGAAAGCUAGGGUAGCAAAUGGGAUUAGAUACCCCAGUAGUCCUAGCUGUAAACGAUGGAUACUAGAUGUUGAACAGAUCGACCUGUGCAGUAUCAAAGCUAACGCGUUAAGUAUCCCGCCUGGGAAGUAUGCUCGCAAGAGUGAAACUCAAAGGAAUUG